AAAGCAUGAUGAGGACAUUUUCUAAGUAUUUUCUUAAAUCUCACACAACUUCCAUAAAUUGAUUCUCCCUCAAAUUGGGAAAAAGAUGUGAUAUCAUUUCUAAGUUU
Small nucleolar RNA from Dendrobium catenatum, 107 nucleotides. The record is from RefSeq and is a predicted model, not a curated record. Lineage: Eukaryota; Viridiplantae; Streptophyta; Magnoliopsida; Asparagales; Orchidaceae.